This 627-nucleotide ribosomal RNA is filed under the name Sphaerobolus jaysukhianus. RNAcentral's name for it is "partial large subunit ribosomal RNA". It matches the Rfam family "Eukaryotic large subunit ribosomal RNA", at positions 65 to 664 of the family's 3401-position model. Lineage: Eukaryota; Fungi; Basidiomycota; Agaricomycetes; Geastrales; Sphaerobolaceae. The record is from RNAcentral.
CCUAAUGGGAAUCCCUUAGUAACGGCGAGUGAAGCGGGAAGAGCUCAAAUUAUGAAAUCUGGCGGUCUACGGCCGUCCGAGUUGUAGUCUAGAGAAGUGUUUUCCGUGCUGGACCGUGUACAAGUCCCUUGGAAUAGGGCGUCGUAGAGGGUGAGAAUCCCGUCUCUGACACGGACUACCAGUGCUCUGUGAUGCACUCUCGAAGAGUCGAGUUGUUUGGGAAUGCAGCUCAAAAUGGGUGGUAAAUUCCAUCUAAAGCUAAAUAUUGGUGGAAGACCGAUAGCGAACAAGUACCGUGAGGGAAAGAUGAAAAGCACUUUGGAAAGAGAGUUAAACAGUACGUGAAAUUGUUGAAAGGGAAACGCUUGAAGUCAGUCGCGUCCUUCGAGAUUCAGCUUGGCCUUGGCCUGGUGUAUUUCUUGUUGGACGGGCCAGCAUCAAUUUUGACCACUGGAUAAAGGCAGGGGGAAUGUGGCACCUCCGGGUGUGUUAUAGCCCCUUGUUGUAUACAGUGGUUGGGAUUGAGGUCUGCAGCACGCCUUUAUUGGCCGGGGUUCGCCCACGUUACGUGCUUAGGAUGCUGGCGUAAUGGCUUUAAGCGACCCGUCUUGAACACCGGGAAACCAA